GAAUUCCCCCUUAGAGUUUGAUCCUGGCUCAGGAUGAACGCUGGCGGCGCGCCUAACACAUGCAAGUCGAACGGUGAUGGGGGAGCAAUCCCCUGAUCAGUGGCGGACGGGUGAGUAACGCGUGAGUAACCUGCCCUUAUGAGCGGAAUAACGUCCGGAAACAGACGCUAAUACCGCAUAACGCAUUGAGUCGGCAUCGGCUUAAUGCCAAAGAUUUAUCGCAUAAGGAUGGACUCGCGUCCCAUUAGAUAGUUGGCGGGGUAACGGCCCACCAAGUCAGCGAUGGGUAGCCGGACUGAGAGGUUGAACGGCCACAUUGGAACUGAGAAACGGUCCAGACUCCUACGGGAGGCAGCAGUGGGGAAUAUUGGGCAAUGGGCGAAAGCCUGACCCAGCGACGCCGCGUGAGCGAUGAAGGUCUUCGGAUUGUAAAGCUCUGUGUACAGGGACGAAGAAAGUGACGGUACCUGUAUAGAAAGCCACGGCUAACUACGUGCCAGCAGCCGCGGUAAUACGGGGGAUGCAAGCGUUGUCUGGAAUCAUUGGGCGUAAAGAGUUCGUAGGUGGUUUAUUAAGUCUGGUGUUAAAUGCAGAUGCUCAACAUCUGUUCGGCACUGGAUACUGGUAGGCUUGAAUGCGGUAGAGGUAAUGGGAAUUCCUGGUGUAGCGGUGAAAUGCGUAGAUAUCAGGAGGAACAUCGGUGGCGAAAGCGCUUUACUGGGCCGUAAUUGACACUGAAGAACGAAAGCCGGGGUAGCAAAUGGGAUUAGAUACCCCAGUAGUCCCGGCCGUAAACGAUGGAUACUAGGUGUUGCGGGUAUCGACCCCUGCAGUGCCGAAGUUAACGCGAUAAGUAUCCCGCCUGGGGAGUACGCACGCAAGUGUGAAACUCAAAGGAAUUGACGGGGACCCGCACAAGCGGUGGAACAUGUGGUUUAAUUCGAAGCAACGCGAAGAACCUUACCAGGGCUUGACAUCUAACAAAUACAGAUGAAAGUUUGUAGUGCCCUUCGGGGAAUGUUAAGACAGGUGGUGCACGGUUGUCGUCAGCUCGUGUCGUGAGAUGUUGGGUUAAGUCCCGCAACGAGCGCGACCCACGUUGUCAGUUGGUAUUGAUGGUAUACUGUUAAUAACCUCUCUGGCGAGACUGCCGGUGACAAACCGGAGGAAGGUGUGGACGACGUCAAAUUAUCAUGCCCCUUAUGUUCUGGGCUACACACGUGCUACAAUGGUGGCCACAAAGAGAAGCGAGCCCGCAAGGGGGAGCGGAUCUCAAAAAAGCCAUCUCAGUUCGGAUUGUGGGCUGCAACCCGCCCACAUGAAGUCGGAGUUGCUAGUAAUCGCGGAUCAGCAUGCCGCGGUGAAUACGUUCCCGGGCCUUGCACUCACCGCCCGUCA
RNAcentral lists this ribosomal RNA (1398 nucleotides) under uncultured bacterium. RNAcentral describes it as "bacterial SSU rRNA". It matches the Rfam family "Bacterial small subunit ribosomal RNA". The record is from RNAcentral.